Acanthosepion pharaonis is the source of this 114-nucleotide non-coding RNA. The record is from the annotation of a GenBank genome assembly. NCBI's taxonomy places the organism in Eukaryota, Metazoa, Mollusca, Cephalopoda, Sepiida, Sepiidae.
UUACGGUCAUAUCGCAUUGAGACACCGGUUCCCGUACGAUCACUGAAGUUAAGCAACGUCGAGCCUGGUCAGGACCUAGAUGGGUAAACGCUUGGGAAUACCAAGUGCUGUAAG